CCUACGGGAGGCAGCAGUGGGGAAUCUUGCGCAAUGGGAGAAACCCUGACGCAGCAACGCCGCGUGGGGGAUGAAAGUCUUCGGAUUGUAAACCCCUUUCGGGAGGGAAGAUGGACGGUACCUCCAGAAGCAGCCACGGCCAACUUCGUGCCAGCAGCCGCGGUAUAAU
RNAcentral lists this ribosomal RNA (169 nucleotides) under uncultured bacterium. RNAcentral describes it as "partial 16S ribosomal RNA". It matches the Rfam family "Bacterial small subunit ribosomal RNA", at positions 338 to 526 of the family's 1533-position model. The record is from RNAcentral.